Molecule: non-coding RNA, 48 nt
Organism: Schistosoma rodhaini
Lineage: Eukaryota; Metazoa; Platyhelminthes; Trematoda; Strigeidida; Schistosomatidae
Source: Rfam
AUCCAUCUGACGAGUCCCAAAUAGGACGAAGUGCGCGUCAACAUGGAU